GACGAACGCUGGCGGCGUGCUUAACACAUGCAAGUCGAACGAGAGGAGAAGGAAGCUUGCUUCUUUCAAAUCUAGUGGCAAACGGGUGAGUAACACGUAAACAACCUGCCUUCAGGAUGGGGACAACAGACGGAAACGACUGCUAAUACCGAAUACGUUCCUUAGGUCGCAUGAUCUUAGGAAGAAAGGGUGGCCUCUACCUGUAAGCUAUCUCCUGAAGAGGGGUUUGCGUCUGAUUAGGUAGUUGGUGAGGUAACGGCCCACCAAGCCGACGAUCAGUAGCCGGUCUGAGAGGAUGAACGGCCACACUGGAACUGAGACACGGUCCAGACUCCUACGGGAGGCAGCAGUGGGGAAUCUUCCGCAAUGGGCGAAAGCCUGACGGAGCAACGCCGCGUGAGUGAUGACGGCC
This 412-nucleotide ribosomal RNA is filed under the name uncultured bacterium. Its description in RNAcentral is "bacterial SSU rRNA". It matches the Rfam family "Bacterial small subunit ribosomal RNA", at positions 28 to 416 of the family's 1533-position model. The record is from RNAcentral.